UGCAGUCGAGCGAAUGGAUUAAGAGCUUGCUCUUAUGAAGUUAGCGGCGGACGGGUGAGUAACACGUGGGUAACCUGCCCAUAAGACUGGGAUAACUCCGGGAAACCGGGGCUAAUACCGGAUAACAUUUUGAACCGCAUGGUUCGAAAUUGAAAGGCGGCUUCGGCUGUCACUUAUGGAUGGACCCGCGUCGCAUUAGCUAGUUGGUGAGGUAACGGCUCACCAAGGCAACGAUGCGUAGCCGACCUGAGAGGGUGAUCGGCCACACUGGGACUGAGACACGGCCCAGACUCCUACGGGAGGCAGCAGUAGGGAAUCUUCCGCAAUGGACGAAAGUCUGACGGAGCAACGCCGCGUGAGUGAUGAAGGCUUUCGGGUCGUAAAACUCUGUUGUUAGGGAAGAACAAGUGCUAGUUGAAUAAGCUGGCACCUUGACGGUACCUAACCAGAAAGCCACGGCUAACUACGUGCCAGCAGCCGCGGUAAUACGUAGGUGGCAAGCGUUAUCCGGAAUUAUUGGGCGUAAAGCGCGCGCAGGUGGUUUCUUAAGUCUGAUGUGAAAGCCCACGGCUCAACCGUGGAGGGUCAUUGGAAACUGGGAGACUUGAGUGCAGAAGAGGAAAGUGGAAUUCCAUGUGUAGCG
This 643-nucleotide ribosomal RNA is filed under the name bacterium SL3.4. Its description in RNAcentral is "bacterial SSU rRNA". It matches the Rfam family "Bacterial small subunit ribosomal RNA", at positions 56 to 680 of the family's 1533-position model. The record is from RNAcentral.